RNAcentral lists this ribosomal RNA (420 nucleotides) under uncultured bacterium. RNAcentral's name for it is "bacterial SSU rRNA". It matches the Rfam family "Bacterial small subunit ribosomal RNA", at positions 356 to 773 of the family's 1533-position model. The record is from RNAcentral.
GAGGAAUAUUGGUCAAUGGGCGUAGGCCUGAACCAGCCAUCCCGCGUGAAGGAAGAAAGCGCUAUGCGUUGUAAACUUCUUUUCCAGAGGAAUAAAAUUUUGUACGAGUACGGAACUGAAGGUACUCUGGGAAUAAGCAUCGGCUAACUCCGUGCCAGCAGCCGCGGUAAUACGGAGGAUGCGAGCGUUAUCCGGAUUUAUUGGGUUUAAAGGGUGCGUAGGCGGAUUAAUAAGUCAGUGGUGAAAACCUUCAGCUUAACUGGAGACUUGCCAUUGAUACUGUUAGUCUUGAGUACGGUCAAGGUAGGCGGAAUGUGUAAUGUAGCGGUGAAAUGCUUAGAUAUUACACAGAACACCGAUUGCGAAGGCAGCUUACUGGGCCAUUACUGACGCUGAUGCACGAAAGCGUGGGGAGCGAAC